AGUUCUCAACCACAUCAAUUAUUUUGGUGCGGCUUGGAUGGUGGGGGUUUUAUUUUGCAGGCUUUGGAAUAUUAAGUCUGCUCCCCUGAAAUGUAUUAGUGGUAUCUGAGCAGAGAAAGCUUACUACAGGUGUUGAUAAACUGUCUAUGCCUUUAAGCACACUGCAUGAAACAGAUUACACUGCUUCUAAUAAAUGAGAGGAAAUCUCUUUGAAAA
RNAcentral lists this unclassified non-coding RNA (216 nucleotides) under uncultured Inocybe. Its description in RNAcentral is "sequence contains ITS2". The record is from RNAcentral. Lineage: Eukaryota; Fungi; Basidiomycota; Agaricomycetes; Agaricales; Cortinariaceae.